RNAcentral lists this ribosomal RNA (603 nucleotides) under Kocuria marina. RNAcentral describes it as "bacterial SSU rRNA". It matches the Rfam family "Bacterial small subunit ribosomal RNA", at positions 36 to 646 of the family's 1533-position model. The record is from RNAcentral. Lineage: Bacteria; Bacillati; Actinomycetota; Actinomycetes; Micrococcales; Micrococcaceae.
CUAGGCCGGCGUGCUAACAAUGCAAGUCGAACGCUGAAGCUUGGUGCUUGCACUGGGUGGAUGAGUGGCGAACGGGUGAGUAAUACGUGAGUAACCUGCCCUUGACUCUGGGAUAAGCCUGGGAAACUGGGUCUAAUACUGGAUAUGACCUCCUGUCGCAUGGUGGGGGGUGGAAAGGGUUUGUACUGGUUGUGGAUGGGCUCACGGCCUAUCAGCUUGUUGGUGGGGUAAUGGCCUACCAAGGCGACGACGGGUAGCCGGCCUGAGAGGGUGACCGGCCACACUGGGACUGAGACACGGCCCAGACUCCUACGGGAGGCAGCAGUGGGGAAUAUUGCACAAUGGGCGCAAGCCUGAUGCAGCGACGCCGCGUGAGGGAUGACGGCCUUCGGGUUGUAAACCUCUUUCAGCACGGAAGAAGCGAAAGUGACGGUACGUGCAGAAGAAGCGCCGGCUAACUACGUGCCAGCAGCCGCGGUAAUACGUAGGGCGCAAGCGUUGUCCGGAAUUAUUGGGCGUAAAGAGCUCGUAGGCGGUUUGUCGCGUCUGCUGUGAAAGUCCGGGGCUUAACCCCGGGUGUGCAGUGCGUCGGGCAGACUUGAA